UGCUGGGGGUGGGCUGCCUAGACCUUCCCCACCUCCUUUCUCAUGCUUCUUUCUCUUUACUCUCUCCAACUUCUCCCAGUCCCAUUUCCCACUUCUUAGGGCCUGAUUCUCAGCUAGCUGCCAAGUACUGCCAAAUGCUAGCCACUAACAGUUCACAGGGCUCUCCCUUCCUGGGGGCACUUUGGAUUUUGUUUCAAUAAAAUUGACUCUGGGGACUUGAGAAUCUUCAAAAAGCCAAUUUAAGGUAUUGCUCAGAGGGUCCAGGUGGUUGUAUGAGGUCAUACGCAGGCCUCUGGAAACAACCAAGGCAUGUACAUAAGUGGGACAAUCACAUCCGGACGUCCUUUUUGAAUAGACACAGGUUGGUGGGUGUGGAACACUGAGAAGUGUCAGCCGGACCCUGCUGCCCAGGAAGCCGGGGUAAAUGAGAGUGUCUGUCCUGGGUGCUCUUCCCCUGCAGUGUAAGUGCUAGGGAGGCACACGUGUUAGUAGUUAGCAGUCAGGAUGGUUGGCAGCAGCUGAGUGUUAGGUGCUGAGUUAACACCACUCCUAACCUGCGGAAGAGGAGCCCAGAGUGAAGGCCUCGUUCCUUGGAGGACCCAAGAGCUCUGGACUGUGAGAGUUACGGGCACUCUGAAUCCUAGCCCUGCCCCUCUACUCGUAAUCUCUCUGAACCAGAGUUUCCUCUCUGUAAAGGGGGAGGGUAUUGAUAGUGCUGUGGGAACCCCCAUGUUUUAUCUCCUUUCCCUUUUGAGAAGGCCUGGGGUGUGAGGAACCGGACAUUCAAAACUCUUGGCACUGGGCCUCCCAGCAACAACUUCUGCCUGAGGAGACAACACAGGCCAUGGUACCUGGGGUGUCUCAGCGGUACCUGCAUUUUUCUGAGCAGUUGAUGCGGCUCUUAUAGGAAAGACAUCUUGGUGAGGAACUCCCAGGACCAUUCCCUAUGUUGGACCUAGAGUUUCCCAAGUGGAUGCUUGUCACUGGGCUUUCUUUGUUCACUGGACCACUGCUGGGUAAGGGAACAGGAAUUUCCCCUGGAGUUGCUGUUUUCCAAGGUGGUCAGCUAUGUUUGUUUCUUGGGCUAGUGAAUGAAAUGGUAUAUGUGAAGGCACAAGGAAAGGUAUCAAGUGCUAAAAAAGGAAAAAAAAAAAAAGAGGAGACUUGGUUAUAAACUUGACUGAUGCAACUUGAUUAUAGCAUAGCCCCUGGUUUUGAGCUCCGAGCUGUGUUUGAAAUGAAAAGGUGUGAUUUCCCCUUGGGUCCUGUGUGUUUAAAGGAUGGAUGGGUACUUGUUCGUGGGCAGCCCAACCCCGCUGGCCCAGGGCCCACCAGGCCUGAAGGUCGAGAAGGAGUGCUGCUGGCCUUCCCUCCCCACCAGCCUCGCAUCUGCCCUUGUUCACGAGUCUGUUCCUUCCCUGACACAACAAAAGGACUGUUUGCUGAGAAGCUGUGAGCUGUUAGGACAAGUCCACCCGCCCUUCUUCACAACUGGUCUUCUCCUUUUAGGGACCUGCCUGGAGUGGAGAGAAACUGUGACCCCCGAUUCUGCCCUCUGGGAUGGGAUCGUCCUCCUUCCUCCCCACAGGCCCCAGUGGACAGACAGAUGGCCCAGGAGAGCAUCUGGGGCGCCAUCCGCAGGCUGGGAGAUGACCCCAAAACCUCAUGCAGAUCAAGGAUCAUCAGGCUAUGUGCAACCCUCUUCAUGGGCUCCACAUGGUCUGAGCACAUAGACACGAAAACCCUCCACCCCAUGCUGACUAUGGCAGGUGGAAUAGGAGCAGGAUAACUGCAAUGAGGACUCCCAUUCAGAGAAAAGAAGCAUGGCAACACAUCUGGCACUGGUUCAUGACAACGAUCAGAUGCUGAUGGGCUGGAGGAGGGAGCCCCCCUACCCCGGCAGUGGAGCUUUGUCCAUCGUCCAUGUCUCUGGGCUUUUCCUUCUGGGAGGCUCUUAUCCCCCAUGGCUACCCCUGAAACAGGCAUUGGUGAGAGGGGCCCCUGGGAGCUUCAGAGUGUUCACCUCUACCUUCUGCUGCUGCAGAUUGUGGAUCCCAGCGAUUGUAUUAGGAAUAAUGGUCAUAGUCAGUACUUUUUAUUGUUUGUUCAGUGCUUUCAAAAAAAAAACUUAGCAGGCUUUCAAUCUAUCUGCUUCUGAUCAGUUUCUUAUAUAAAAUCCACAACUACAGACCUACUGCAGCCAUCAUUCUAACACUGCAGGGGAACCAGGGGGGACUUGAGAAAGUUAAAUUCAAACUUGCCCUGUGCCUAACCACACUGCAGUUUACUUUGAUGUGAAGACCUUUAGAGUGAUAUGUAAGGGCAUCUCUUCCCAGAGCUCCCCUCUCCCUUUGCAGUCUGGGACUUCAACUGGAAGAUAGACAAUGAAGAUACACAUCUGACUUGCUCCCACACUUGUGUCCUUUCUCACCUCUUCCCCGCCAUCCUCCAGACCUGAGAUCAGGGCUCUCCUGUCUGUUCUCCUCUUUAGAUAAAGCUCUAAGGUCAGUUCUGUCAGGCUGGCUUCUUGAUAUAUUACAGAGAAAGUUAAAGACAUCCAGAAUAUCCUUUUUCUUAAUAAAGACUGUCUUUCAAGACCA
Long non-coding RNA from Bubalus bubalis (water buffalo), 2600 nucleotides. RefSeq lists it as uncharacterized. NCBI's taxonomy places the organism in Eukaryota, Metazoa, Chordata, Mammalia, Artiodactyla, Bovidae. The transcript is spliced from 3 exons. The record is from RefSeq and is a predicted model, not a curated record.